RNAcentral lists this unclassified non-coding RNA (339 nucleotides) under Hevea brasiliensis (rubber tree). The record is from RNAcentral. Lineage: Eukaryota; Viridiplantae; Streptophyta; Magnoliopsida; Malpighiales; Euphorbiaceae.
GUAGCCAAAGCCUAAGCAAGGGUAUGACAGCAACAAGUUGGAUUGAACCAGGAGGAUUUCUUGGCGAUGAGCUGCUAUCGUGGUGUCUUCGGCGCCCAUUUCUGGAGAGACUUCCAGCUUCAUCCGCUACAUUUGUUUGCAUUGAACCAACAGAAGCAUUUGCCCUGAAAGCAGACCAUCUGAAGUACAUAACCGAUCACUUCCGGUACAAAUUCGCGAACGAGAGACUGAAGAGAACUGCAAGAUAUUACUCCUCCAACUGGAGAACAUGGGCUGCUGUGAACAUACAAUUCGCGUGGCGUCGAUACCGAAAGAGGAUGAGACGGCCAGUGAUAGCCG